GACGAACCGUCCAAACGUUAUUCGGAAUCACUGGGCUUAAAGGGUGCGUAGGCGGCGCGGAAAGUUGGGUGUGAAAGCCCUCGGCUCAACCGAGGAAUUGCGCCCAAAACUACUGCACUAGAGGAAGACAGAGGUACGCGGAACUUAGGGUGGAGCGGUGAAAUGCGUUGAUAUCCUAAGGAACACCGGUGGCGAAAGCGGCGUACUGGGUCUUAUCUGACGCUGAGGCACGAAAGCUAGGGGAGCGAACGGG
RNAcentral lists this ribosomal RNA (253 nucleotides) under uncultured bacterium. Its description in RNAcentral is "partial 16S ribosomal RNA". It matches the Rfam family "Bacterial small subunit ribosomal RNA", at positions 524 to 776 of the family's 1533-position model. The record is from RNAcentral.